This is a non-coding RNA of Gymnothorax javanicus (giant moray), 74 nucleotides long. NCBI's taxonomy places the organism in Eukaryota, Metazoa, Chordata, Actinopteri, Anguilliformes, Muraenidae. The record is from the annotation of a GenBank genome assembly.
GAUGUGUUAGCGCAGUGGUUAACUGUGCUUGACUUGGGAUCAAGAGGUCCUGGGUUCAAGUCCUGGCCACGGCC